Molecule: ribosomal RNA, 513 nt
Filed under: uncultured bacterium
Lineage: Bacteria
Description: bacterial SSU rRNA
Rfam family: Bacterial small subunit ribosomal RNA
Source: RNAcentral
UACUGGCUCAGGAUGAACGCUAGCUACAGGCUUAACACAUGCAAGUCGAGGGGCAGCAUUAUCGAAGCUUGCUUUGAUAGAUGGCGACCGGCGCACGGGUGAGUAACGCGUAUCCAACCUUCCCCUUAGUAGGGCAUAGCCCGUAGAAAUGCGGAUUAAUACCCUAUGUUGUAUUAUGAGGACAUCUGAAAGAUACCAAAGGUUCACCGCUAAGGGAUGGGGAUGCGUCUGAUUAGGUUGUUGGCGGGGUAACGGCCCACCAAGCCAUCGAUCAGUAGGGGUUCUGAGAGGAAGGUCCCCCACAUUGGAACUGAGACACGGUCCAAACUCCUACGGGAGGCAGCAGUGAGGAAUAUUGGUCAAUGGGCGAGAGCCUGAACCAGCCAAAGUAGCGUGCAGGAAGACGGCCCUAUGGGUUGUAAACUGCUUUUAUACAGGGAUAAAGUCGGGGACGUGUCCCCGUUUGUAGGUACUGUAUGAAUAAGGACCGGCUAAUUCCGUGCCAGCCGCUGC